Molecule: long non-coding RNA, 227 nt
Filed under: Elaeis guineensis (African oil palm)
Lineage: Eukaryota; Viridiplantae; Streptophyta; Magnoliopsida; Arecales; Arecaceae
Description: long non-coding RNA (EGUI_LNC063578)
Source: RNAcentral
CAGCGGACGAACUUUCACAAUGCCUUUUGAAUUCUGCUAUCAGCCGACCUUCUUCCAGAUUCCUCGUGCAAUCGGACCUCUUCAGUGGACAGCCCUCAGACAAGCUUUUACAUCAGAUAAAUUCCAGACGGACUUCUCUAGCAAUCAGACUUCUACCAGACUUCACCAAUAGAAAGUCUCCAUUCGAGCUUCUACAGCAGAUGACUCCCACCUGUAGCAUCAGCGCC